RNAcentral lists this long non-coding RNA (206 nucleotides) under Elaeis guineensis (African oil palm). RNAcentral describes it as "long non-coding RNA (EGUI_LNC069893)". Lineage: Eukaryota; Viridiplantae; Streptophyta; Magnoliopsida; Arecales; Arecaceae. The record is from RNAcentral.
AAUAACGUAUCUGGGGUCCCCCUUAUAUAGGUGGUGGGCUCAACAGACUGAUAGUGACGUUCAUAACCGUCUCGUAGUGGGCUGCCCACCGUCAGGAGGAAUUCGCUACGAGGAGUAGUGGGGUAGACCCGUGGCCCUCACUGUAGCGCUCCACGUGGAGUCUGUUGCAUGGAGUGGAGCGGCAUCCGUUGUCGUGACUUGCCAGC